UAGGAAAAUACAUGGUAUCUUUAAGAUGU
Molecule: non-coding RNA, 29 nt
Filed under: Rattus norvegicus (Norway rat)
Lineage: Eukaryota; Metazoa; Chordata; Mammalia; Rodentia; Muridae
Source: RNAcentral